CGUUAAAUAAAGGCAACAGUAGUAUACCGCUGUUCAAACUCAUAAAUCCAUGGACAAAAAACAAAAUCGGGGUAACAAACUAAAACUGAGGGAAACGCAUUAAAUAUAAGAGGAGAACAACGACACAACACUACAAUGUAACACACACAGAAACGGACCAAGCAUCAGACAAAAUCCCACGAGAAUAACAAAUAUAACAUCAAAACCAAAUACUUGAAUUUGGGAUAGACAAGUACCGUGACACGUCUUAUCGCAAUGUGAAUUUACACUCAAAAAUAAGAGAAAACAAACGACGAAACGUUAAA
Molecule: long non-coding RNA, 305 nt
Filed under: Mytilus galloprovincialis (Mediterranean mussel)
Lineage: Eukaryota; Metazoa; Mollusca; Bivalvia; Mytilida; Mytilidae
Source: RNAcentral